AAACGAUGAUUACUCACGAUGAGUGUCCACACAGAUUGAUACGGUUUAUGUAAAAGAGACGAUACUGGGUCUGUAGCUCAGGUGGUUAGAGCGUUCGCCUGAUAAGCGAGAGGUCGGUGGUUCGAGUCCACUCAGACCCACCAAUUCCUUUUAGGGAGUUGGCAUACAGUAUCGACACCUUGAUGGGGCUAUAGCUCAGCUGGGAGAGCGCCUGCCUUGCACGCAGGAGGUCUGCGGUUCGAUCCCGCAUAGCUCCACCAUCUUUAAGCGCAUUCGAUGAGUGCUUUUAAAAAUGGUUACUUCAUUAGAAGUGAUUAGCUCUUUAACAAUUUGGAAAGCUGACAAAACAACAAUUUAUUGUUGUUUGUAAAGUUCUCAAUGUUUGUCUUUAAGACAAACACCAAAAUAACACAUUCAAGUGUUCUUGGAAUUUGAGUCCGGCAAAAUCGAGUCUGCAUCAUGUAUAAAAAUWGCAGACAACUUUGGUGACUUGUUCAUCAGCUCGAAACUCCUUCGGGUUGUAU
This 524-nucleotide unclassified non-coding RNA is filed under the name Vibrio parahaemolyticus. Its description in RNAcentral is "16S-23S ribosomal RNA intergenic spacer region". The stretch from base 67 to 140 matches the Rfam family "tRNA". Lineage: Bacteria; Pseudomonadati; Pseudomonadota; Gammaproteobacteria; Vibrionales; Vibrionaceae. The record is from RNAcentral.